RNAcentral lists this ribosomal RNA (243 nucleotides) under uncultured bacterium. RNAcentral's name for it is "partial 16S ribosomal RNA". It matches the Rfam family "Bacterial small subunit ribosomal RNA", at positions 99 to 334 of the family's 1533-position model. The record is from RNAcentral.
CGAACGGGUGCGUAACACGUGAGUAACCUGCCCUUCGGCGGGGGAUAGCCGGUCUAACGACCGGGUAAUACCGCGUACGACCUCGAGGUCGCAUGGCUUUGAGGUGAAAGCGGGCGCAAGCUCGCACCGGAGGAGGGGCCCGCGGCCUAUCAGCUUGUUGGUGGGGUAAUGGCCCACCAAGGCGACGACGGGUAGCUGGUCUGAGAGGAUGAUCAGCCACAUUGGGACUGAGAUACGGCCCAG